AUUGAACGCUGGCGGAAUGCUUUACACAUGCAAGUCGAGCGGCAGCGCGGGGCAACCUGGCGGCGAGCGGCGAACGGGUGAGUAAUGCAUCGGAACAUGUCCAUGGAUGGGGGAUAGCCCGGCGAAAGCCGGAUUAAUACCGCAUGAGCCCGAGAGGGGAAAGUGGGGGACCGCAAGGCCUCACGUCGAGGGGUUGGCCGAUGCCCGAUUAGCUAGUUGGUGAGGUAAUGGCUCACCAAGGCGAUGAUCGGUAGCUGGUCAGAGAGGAUGAUCAGCCACACUGGGACUGAGACACGGCCCAGACUCCUACGGGAGGCAGCAGUGGGGAAUUUUGGACAAUGGGGGCAACCCUGAUCCAGCCAUUCCGCGUGAGUGAAGAAGGCCUUCGGGUUGUAAAGCUCUUUUGUCCGGAGCGAAACGGGGCGCGUGAAUAUCGCGCUCUACUGACGGUACCGGAAGAAUAAGCACCGGCUAACUACGUGCCAGCCGCCGCCGUAA
Molecule: ribosomal RNA, 498 nt
Filed under: uncultured bacterium
Lineage: Bacteria
Description: partial 16S ribosomal RNA
Rfam family: Bacterial small subunit ribosomal RNA
Source: RNAcentral